Pelobates cultripes (western spadefoot toad) is the source of this 505-nucleotide non-coding RNA. The record is from the annotation of a GenBank genome assembly. Lineage: Eukaryota; Metazoa; Chordata; Amphibia; Anura; Pelobatidae.
UAUAUUUAAUAUAUUUUGCAUGGAAUAAUUUUGUUCUAUUGUGCCUGUAGUACAUCAGGGAGUCUGGCUAAUCUCAGUGGAUCUCAAGGACACAUAUUUCCACAUCAGAAAGGUUCCUCAGGUUUUGUCUAUGCAAUCAUCAUUUCCAGUUUCAAGCUCUACCCUUUUGGGAUCAGCACAUCUUCAGGUACUUGUCACCAUAAUAACCUUAUCAGGGAAGACGGUGUGGCCAUUUCUCACUACCUGGACAAUAUCCUAGUGGUUACUCGAGAUGAAAAAAAAUGAUGCUUCAACACUGAUCCCUGGUCCUUCAGACACUGUCUCACUUUAUGUGGGUGAUCUACCAUGAGAAGUCAGUUACAGCCUUCCAGAAAAUUGAUCUUCCUUGGAGCCAAUUUCAAUACCACUACAGCUAUGGUUACUUUUGCUCAAGAAAGGAAACUCCUCUUUUUAGAUUGUCUAAGGAAGUUACGAUCCAGGACUUCGGCCCAGCGUGGUAUUUCAU